This 489-nucleotide ribosomal RNA is filed under the name Dineutus indicus. RNAcentral describes it as "partial large subunit ribosomal RNA". It matches the Rfam family "Bacterial large subunit ribosomal RNA", at positions 1840 to 2587 of the family's 2925-position model. Lineage: Eukaryota; Metazoa; Arthropoda; Insecta; Coleoptera; Gyrinidae. The record is from RNAcentral.
UUUUUUUAUAAAGUAUAACCUGCCCACUGAAUUAUUUAAAUGGCCGCAGUAUUUUGACUGUGCAAAGGUAGCAUAAUAAUUAGUUUUUUAAUUAAAAGCUUGUAUGAAUGGUUGGACGAGGUAAAUACUGUCUUUAAAUAAUUUUAAUAGAAUUUAAUUUUUAAGUUAAAAAGCUUAAAUAAUUUUAAAAGACGAGAAGACCCUAUAGAUCUUUAUUAUUUUUUUUGUAAAAUUAUUUAGAUUUUUAUGAUUUUUAUAAUUAAAAUAAUUUUAUUGGGGUAAUAUAAAGAUUAAAAUAAUUCUUUAUUAUUUGAAACAUAAAUUUAUGGUUUAUUUGAUCCAGUUUUAUUGAUUAUAAGAUUAAGUUACCUUAGGGAUAACAGCGUAAUUUUUUUAAAGAGUUCAUAUCGAUAAAAAAGAUUGCGACCUCGAUGUUGGAUUAAAAGUAAUUUUAGGUGUAGAAGCUUAAAGUUUUGGUCUGUUCGACCA